This 1369-nucleotide ribosomal RNA is filed under the name uncultured bacterium. Its description in RNAcentral is "bacterial SSU rRNA". It matches the Rfam family "Bacterial small subunit ribosomal RNA", at positions 28 to 1381 of the family's 1533-position model. The record is from RNAcentral.
GAUGAACGCUGGCGGCGUGCCUAAUACAUGCAAGUCGAGCGAACGGACGAGAAGCUUGCUUCUCUGAUGUUAGCGGCGGACGGGUGAGUAACACGUGGAUAACCUACCUAUAAGACUGGGAUAACUUCGGGAAACCGGAGCUAAUACCGGAUAAUAUUUUGAACCGCAUGGUUCAAAAGUGAAAGACGGUCUUGCUGUCACUUAUAGAUGGAUCCGCGCUGCAUUAGCUAGUUGGUAAGGUAACGGCUUACCAAGGCAACGAUGCAUAGCCGACCUGAGAGGGUGAUCGGCCACACUGGAACUGAGACACGGUCCAGACUCCUACGGGAGGCAGCAGUAGGGAAUCUUCCGCAAUGGGCGAAAGCCUGACGGAGCAACGCCGCGUGAGUGAUGAAGGUCUUCGGAUCGUAAAACUCUGUUAUUAGGGAAGAACAUAUGUGUAAGUAACUGUGCACAUCUUGACGGUACCUAAUCAGAAAGCCACGGCUAACUACGUGCCAGCAGCCGCGGUAAUACGUAGGUGGCAAGCGUUAUCCGGAAUUAUGGGCGUAAAGCGCGCGUAGCGGUUUUUUAGUCUGAUGUGAAAGCCCACGGCUCAACCGUGGAGGGUCAUUGGAAACUGGAAAACUUGAGUGCAGAAGAGGAAAGUGGAAUUCCAUGUGUAGCGGUGAAAUGCGCAGAGAUAUGGAGGAACACCAGUGGCGAAGGCGACUUUCUGGUCUGUAACUGACGCUGAUGUGCGAAAGCGUGGGGAUCAAACAGGAUUAGAUACCCUGGUAGUCCACGCCGUAAACGAUGAGUGCUAAGUGUUAGGGGGUUUCCGCCCCUUAGUGCUGCAGCUAACGCAUUAAGCACUCCGCCUGGGGAGUACGACCGCAAGGUUGAAACUCAAAGGAAUUGACGGGGACCCGCACAAGCGGUGGAGCAUGUGGUUUAAUUCGAAGCAACGCGAAGAACCUUACCAAAUCUUGACAUCCUUUGACAACUCUAGAGAUAGAGCCUUCCCCUUCGGGGGACAAAGUGACAGGUGGUGCAUGGUUGUCGUCAGCUCGUGUCGUGAGAUGUUGGGUUAAGUCCCGCAACGAGCGCAACCCUUAAGCUUAGUUGCCAUCAUUAAGUUGGGCACUCUAAGUUGACUGCCGGUGACAAACCGGAGGAAGGUGGGGAUGACGUCAAAUCAUCAUGCCCCUUAUGAUUUGGGCUACACACGUGCUACAAUGGACAAUACAAAGGGCAGCGAAACCGCGAGGUCAAGCAAAUCCCAUAAAGUUGUUCUCAGUUCGGAUUGUAGUCUGCAACUCGACUACAUGAAGCUGGAAUCGCUAGUAAUCGUAGAUCAGCACGCUACGGUGAAUACGUUCCCGGGUCU